Symphalangus syndactylus (siamang) is the source of this 406-nucleotide long non-coding RNA. RefSeq lists it as uncharacterized. The record is from RefSeq and is a predicted model, not a curated record. NCBI's taxonomy places the organism in Eukaryota, Metazoa, Chordata, Mammalia, Primates, Hylobatidae.
UUGGAGAAUUCAGUCCAAUCUGUCAUGUGGAAAUUUACAUCAAUCUAACAUUCCUCAAGCUGGAAAAGAUCUUAUGAGUCUUCUACCUCAACCCUUUCAUUUCAAGAUGUGGAAACUAAGGCUCAAAGAGAUAAAGUGACUUGUGCAAGAUUCCAGCUCCAGGUGGCGACCCUUCUUACGCGCCUGCCGCAAGGACCUCUUGACCUUCUUCACACGCUCCCGGAGCUGCCGGUUGCGCUUCUCCAGGGUGGCCACUUUCUGCUGCAGUUUCUUGACGUGGUCCUCCUCCUCGAACAGGGCCUUCUGCACCGAGGAGCACAUGAGCUAGAGGCAGAGACAGCGUGCAAGGAGAGGAGUCAUCGGUCUGUACACUUCCCGUGAGUAUUUCAUGGGAGCUGGAGGAGGG